CAGAGACGGAACUUUCCGUCGUGUUCAGAACCGCUUUAAAAUAACGCACGCCCAUGAGUUUAAUCCUGGAGUCGGAAGAUGAGUCAGAAGUGUGUGUGUGAGACGGCGAGUUCGAUUUCAUGCUGAAGUUCCAUUCGAUCAGGGAUUAAUGAGACGAUGUUGACUGUGAGCGAGGCUGCGUUCAGACGCUCGGUAUCGUGGAAUAACCCGGGCUCAUUUCUGCCACUACAUCAUUUAACACAUGGGUUCAAAUAUAGAACUGUAACGAUACGAUCGAAUCCAACGUCAUCAUCAUUCACUCAUUACCACCAUCACUACCACCAUCAUUACCACCAUCACUACCACCAUCAUUACCACCAUCACUACCACCAUCACCCACACCAUCAUUAACACCAUCACUACCACCAUCAUUACCACCAUCACUACCACCAUCACUACCACCAUCACUACCACCAUCACUACCACCAUCACCCACACCAUCAUUAACACCAUCACUACCACCAUCAUUACCACCAUCACUACCACCAUCAUUACCACCAUCACCCACACCAUCAUUAACACCAUCACUACCACCAUCAUUACCACCAUCACUACCACCAUCAUUACCACCAUCAUUUACACCAUCACUACCACCAUCACUACCACCAUCAUUACCACCAUCACUACCACCAUCACUACCACCAUCAUUAACCACCAUCACCCACACCAUCAUUACCACCAUCAUUUACACCAUCACUACCACCAUCACUACCACCAUCAUUACCACCAUCACUACCACCAUCAUUACCACCAUCAUUUACACCAUCACUCACUCAUUAACACCAUCACUACCACCAUCAUUUACACCAUCACUCACUCAUUAACACCAUCACUACCACCAUCAUUAAUACAUCACCCACACCAUCACUCACUCAUUAACACCAUCACUACCCACCAUCAUUAACCCCAUCA
This is a long non-coding RNA of Ictalurus punctatus (channel catfish), 951 nucleotides long. The record is from Ensembl. Lineage: Eukaryota; Metazoa; Chordata; Actinopteri; Siluriformes; Ictaluridae.